UACGUAGGGGGCUAGCGUUGUCCGGAAUCAUUGGGCGUAAAGCGCGUGUAGGCGGUCCGGUAAGUCCGCUGUGAAAGUCGAGGGCUCAACCCUCGAAUGCCGGUGGAUACUGCUCAGCUCGAGUCCGGAAGAGGAGUGUGGAAUUCCUGGUGUAGCGGUGAAAUGCGCAGAUAUCAGGAGGAACACCAAUGGCGAAGGCAGCACUCUGGGACGGUACUGACGCUGAGACGCGAAAGCGUGGGGAGCAAACAGG
This 253-nucleotide ribosomal RNA is filed under the name uncultured bacterium. RNAcentral describes it as "partial 16S ribosomal RNA". It matches the Rfam family "Bacterial small subunit ribosomal RNA", at positions 524 to 776 of the family's 1533-position model. The record is from RNAcentral.